AUGGUUAAGUUAGAAAGGGCGCACGGUGGAUGCCUUGGCACUAGGAGCCGAUGAAGGACGGGACGAACACCGAUAUGCUUCGGGGAGCUGUAAGCAAGCUUUGAUCCGGAGAUUUCCGAAUGGGGAAACCCACUGCUCGUAAUGGAGUAGUAUCCAUACUUGA
RNAcentral lists this ribosomal RNA (163 nucleotides) under Bacillus pumilus. Its description in RNAcentral is "partial 23S ribosomal RNA". It matches the Rfam family "Bacterial large subunit ribosomal RNA", at positions 1 to 161 of the family's 2925-position model. The record is from RNAcentral. Lineage: Bacteria; Bacillati; Bacillota; Bacilli; Caryophanales; Bacillaceae.